UCAAUUUGCAUAGAGAAGAAGCCCUUUGGCCAAAAAUCAUAAUGACAACCUCCUCCUUGUCGUCGUUCAUGGUGGAUUUGCGAGACGGAGCUAGUCGCUAGAGUUUAUGGAGGGGAAAUGAUCAUCAGGUGAUGGAGAGUCGAUCGAAGGCCUCUUUGAAGGCUAUCUUUGCCGAUAAUGGUAGGAAUCUGCCGCUAGUGUACUGAACACCUUACUCGCAAUUUCUCUUGAUUUAGGCCUUUAUCAUGCUAAUAGUGGCCACAAGCAUGUUCGUCUCAUCGAACUCUUAAGUUUAGAACCUUCACUCGCUCGAAACAAUGGUCGUUUGGCCAGAAAACAGAAAGGAGAGGGGAAGGGGAUCCGUCGGCGAUGGAGAGGAGAGAAAGAAGUUUUGUUGGCUUUCUCUUUCCUCAUUGAUUGGCUUAAAACUGAU
This 433-nucleotide long non-coding RNA is filed under the name Jatropha curcas. RNAcentral describes it as "long non-coding RNA (JCUR_LNC002140)". The record is from RNAcentral. Lineage: Eukaryota; Viridiplantae; Streptophyta; Magnoliopsida; Malpighiales; Euphorbiaceae.